CAGAACACCUACAAGAAGCUGUUUUCUGGCUUGCAUGAUAGUAUGCACUGUUUUUUUUUCAUCCCCUUUCAAAGAGUGAAAACUUCCUUUUUCUGUAAAGUCUCAUUCUUGGAGUGAGGCUGUGUGUGACAGACUGAUACAAGUGGGUCCUCUGAGUUUUUAUUUGUUUCAGAAAUCCAGUUGUAGUCCCACAUGAGAUGGAGGCUCAGACAGUCACGUGGUUGGUUUUUCUGGCCCUAAUAAAACAUGUUUCUACAAGUAACCCUAUAAGUCCCUUUAAACUAGAUCCUGGUUGGCUGCCAGCUACUGAGGGAUCCUGCUUUGAAAUUAAAUGCCAAGUCACAAGAAAUGUUGAUGAUCCUGAUGCAAACUUGUUUUGGAUGAAAGAUAGACGAUGGGUCGACAGUGAAAAAGACUUUACAUCCACUGUCAUUUACAGCACAAACACCUGGACACAUCCGGUCAGUCCUGACUUUGCAAACAGAGUGAAAUACAUCGGUUCUUCAUCUUCAAGUUGGAGGAAUAGUAACUCUGCUGAGCCGAAGCCACUGUGCAGUAUUUUGAUCUGUGACCUGAGAAGAAGUGACAGCGGAAAGUAUUCUUUGAGAUUCGUAGGGAAGCCAAUCUGGUCAUCUGAAGAAGUGACCCUCAACGUUGAAGUAAAUCGAUGCCCGCUCACUUUUGAGGAACCAGCUGUCGUGGUGGAGUCCGACGUGGUCACACUCACAUGCUCCACUUCAAGUUCAUGUCCUUCAAACCCUCACAUUCAAGAUGUGACUCAGAUCGACCGGACACAGGCCACAGACUUUCAUCAAGAUAAGGAAAGAACCACCUUCAGCUUUAGAGCCAGCAGGGAGGAUGAUGGGAGGGUGUUUUCAUGCCAAACACAGAACAACAUGGACAAAUAUUUGAUCCAGAAUAUUACAGUCACUGUUAAAUACAGUCCCAAACAUGUGACAGUUCAAGCCAAUCCUGGUCUUGAUGUGAAGGAAAAUGUGUCGUUGACACUGAGCUGUACUGCCGAGUCCAACCCACCAGUGAGCUCUGUCACCUGGAGGAAGACGACUGAUGGGAGAGAGAGGAAAUCGUCCAACAGACUCGGACUCAGACCUUCAGGGUGAAUUCAGCCAGUCCCUCUGACAGUGGACUGUACAGCUGUGAAGCCAACAAUGACAUUGGAAGUGGAAAGUCACAGCCAGCUGAGGUUAAAGUCAGAUUUUCUCCAAAACACACAAACAUCAUGAAGUCGUCAGAGAAGCAGGAGCUUGACGGGAGGAGCUCCGUGAUGCUGAGCUGCAUCAGUCACAGCUUUCCCCCAGUCCAACACUACUCAUGGUACAGGAAGAGUCAGGGCGAGGAAAAGGAUGAACUUGUGUCCGAGCAUCAAAACCACACAGUGUACUCAAACCAGCCAGGAGUCUACUACUGCAUCGCAAAAAAUGAAGUAAACCAAAGUUUGUCUGAUCCCGUCCAUCUGUUUGAACGAAACUAUCUGGACAUCCUGAAGUUCCGCGUUCCUGCUGUACUUCUCCUGAUGAUUAUCAGUGUAAUUGUCGUAAAUUUAAGAUACUGGAGGAAAUCUAUUCAACAAGGAACAACAAACACCGAAUCUCCUCCUGGUUUUUCGAAUGAACCAGAGAGCCUGCAGGACUAUGAAAACAUUAGUAAUGCAACUGCACGUGCACCAACAUCUCCAAAUCUAUUUGACGACCACACCAGUGAAGGUGAAGUGGAGCUGAACUUUCCACAGGUGAGAUUCACAGCGACGCCCCGACGUCAGACGACCAACAGAGACUCCAGCAGCUCACAUGAAGAUGAGAGUUAAUACUCUGACGUCAGGAUUUGACCCGAGAUGUUCUCGUCCUGCUUUUUACAGCUACCUCGGGCCUGAGGAAGUUUAUAUUCACAAUAAGUCAUCACAGAGAGUCUGAAGAGUUCAUGUGUUAAG
RNA transcript from Hippoglossus stenolepis (Pacific halibut), 1948 nucleotides. RefSeq lists it as uncharacterized. Lineage: Eukaryota; Metazoa; Chordata; Actinopteri; Pleuronectiformes; Pleuronectidae. The record is from RefSeq and is a predicted model, not a curated record. The transcript has 9 exons.